Molecule: long non-coding RNA, 227 nt
Organism: Olea europaea var. sylvestris
Lineage: Eukaryota; Viridiplantae; Streptophyta; Magnoliopsida; Lamiales; Oleaceae
Exons: 2
Source: RefSeq, a predicted model, not a curated record
GCUAAGCACAAUUCAAAAUAUUUCAUAUUAGGGCUCCCAGUAUACGUAUAUAUACGCGCUCGCUAAUUCUCAAAACAAAACAAAUUAUACAUAAAUCUAACCUCUCAUUCUCGCCUACAUCGAUUUUUCUCUCUAAACGGCAGUAUCAAACGAAUGGCCUUGCCGAAUCAGCAGACAGUGGAUUACCCAAGCUUCAAGCUUGUUAUUGUUGGCGAUGGUGGCACUGG